GAGUUUGAUCCUGGCUCAGGACGAACGCUGGCGGCGUGCCUAACACAUGCAAGUCGAGCGGAGGUAGUUUGAUGGUAACUGAUAGCUACUUUAGCGGCGGACGGGUGAGUAACACGUGGGCAACCUGCCUCGAAGUGGGGGAUAACACCGAGAAAUCGGUGCUAAUACCGCAUAACAUACAUUGGCUGCAUGGUCGAUGUAUCAAAGGAGUAAUCCGCUUUGAGAUGGGCCCGCGGCUGAUUAGCUAGUUGGUGAGGUAAUGGCUCACCAAGGCGACGAUCAGUAGCCGACCUGAGAGGGUGACCGGCCACACUGGAACUGAGACACGGUCCAGACUCCUACGGGAGGCAGCAGUGGGGAGUAUUGCGCAAUGGGGGAAACCCUGACGCAGCAACGCCGCGUGGAGGAAGAAGGUCUUCGGAUUGUAAACUCCUGUCUUCUGGGACGAUAAUGACGGUACCAGAGGAGGAAGCCACGGCUAACUACGUGCCAGCAGCCGCGGUAAUACGUAGGGUGCGAGCGUUAAUCGGAAUUACUGGGCGUAAAGCGUGCGCAGGCGGUUUUGUAAGUCAGAUGUGAAAUCCCCGAGCUCAACUUGGGAACUGCGUUUGAAACUACAAGACUAGAAUAUGUCAGAGGGGGGUAGAAUUCCACGUGUAGCAGUGAAAUGCGUAGAGAUGUGGGGGAAUACCAAUGGCGAAGGCAGCCCCCUGGGAUAAUAUUGACGCUCAUGCACGAAAGCGUGGGGAGCAAACAGGGAUUAGAUACCCUGGUAGUCCACGCCCUAAACGAUGUCUACUAGUUGUUGGUGGAGUAAAAUCCAUGAGUAACGCAGCUAACGCGUGAAGUAGACCGCUGGGGAGUACGGUCGCAAGAUUUAAACUCAAAUGAAUUGACGGGGGCCCGCACAAGCGGUGGAGCAUGCCGGGUUAAUAGGAUGAUACGCCAAAGAACCUUACCAGGGCUUGACAUGACUCGGACAGCCUGUGAAAGCAGGUCUUCUUGGCCAUCAGGUCGAGCCACAGAUGGUGCAUGGGUGUCGUCAGCUCCUGGCCGUGAGGUGUUGGGGUUAAGUUCCCGCAACGAGCGCAAACCUUAUUGCCUAGUUGCCAUUCAUUAGUUGGGCACUUCUAUUGAGACUGUGCCGGAGAACAUUCGAGUAAGGUGGGGGAUUGACCUCAGUUCUCAUGCCCUUUAUGGCCAGGCUCCCACGCGUUAUAUACACAUGUGGUUCGGCUUACACGAGAGGGGGGUUGUGC
This 1259-nucleotide ribosomal RNA is filed under the name iron-reducing bacterium enrichment culture clone FeC_1_B3. RNAcentral describes it as "partial 16S ribosomal RNA". It matches the Rfam family "Bacterial small subunit ribosomal RNA", at positions 9 to 1274 of the family's 1533-position model. The record is from RNAcentral.